RNAcentral lists this ribosomal RNA (459 nucleotides) under uncultured bacterium. Its description in RNAcentral is "partial 16S ribosomal RNA". It matches the Rfam family "Bacterial small subunit ribosomal RNA", at positions 338 to 795 of the family's 1533-position model. The record is from RNAcentral.
CCUACGGGUGGCAGCAGUGAGGAAUAUUGGUCAAUGGCCGGAAGGCUGAACCAGCCAUGCCGCGUGAAGGUCAGUGCCCUAUGGGUUGUAAACCUCUUUUGCCGGGGAGCAACGGGCGUCACGUGUGGCGCCACUGAGAGUACCCGUAGAAAAAGCAUCGGCUAACUCCGUGCCAGCAGCCGCGGUAAUACGGAGGAUGCGAGCGUUAUCCGGAUUUAUUGGGUUUAAAGGGUGCGUAGGCGGAUCGUUAAGUCAGUGGUCAAAUUGAGGGGCUCAACCCCUUCCCGCCAUUGAAACUGGCGCUCUUGAGUGGAAGAGAAGUAUGCGGAAUGCGUGGUGUAGCGGUGAAAUGCAUAGAUAUCACGCAGAACCCCGAUUGCGAAGGCAGCAUGCCGGCUUCCGACUGACGCUGAAGCACGAAAGCGUGGGGAUCGAACAGGAUUAGAUACCCCGGUAGUC